UUUAGUUGCAGUACUAACAUUAUCAAAUCCGCGUAUUAAUUUUUCUGCUUGGCAGGAAGAAACUUUUUUAGUAGUAGUUCAUGUAUGCGGCAUAUUGAGAUAACUUCUGUAAAUCAGUGUCGUGUUCGUAAUGAGCUGUAUAUAUGUAUUCUAGAAAAGGAAGUCUACGCAGAUUUGAUAAUGUUAGUACUGCAACUAAA
RNAcentral lists this unclassified non-coding RNA (200 nucleotides) under Hevea brasiliensis (rubber tree). The record is from RNAcentral. Lineage: Eukaryota; Viridiplantae; Streptophyta; Magnoliopsida; Malpighiales; Euphorbiaceae.